AUUACCCCAGUAUAACUGCAAACAUACUAGGGGGUUGUACCAGUAUAAGAAUCACACCCCUAACUGACAGUUACUCUACUACCAAAUCUGUGCAUAGAUCAGGGCGCAGCAUCGACUGCAAUAGGUGGAACUCCGAGAGAGGCACGCUCAUCUUCUGCAUGACUGGGAUGCAGCUAGGGUUGGGUUUUAAUAUUACUUUGCCAGUCAACAUCCCCCUCUUCUAGCCUGGCAGAGAGCUCCUCUCCCUUAGUGUGGGUCCAGAAGCUUUAGCUCAGGUUGCAGGGGCACAGGCUUCAGGGCCAGGCAGGAUGUAAAGGAAGUGGGAGGGUCUGUGUCCCCGCAGCACGACCCCUUUACCUCGAUGCAUUAGGCAAAGAGAGGAGCUAGGGCCGGCCCAGGGGGUGGGGGGUGUCUGCGUCUCCGCCGGGAAAGAGGCGCAGUGCCCGGCUCUGGGAAAGGAGAAAGGGUCGCGACGACUGUGAUGAACUGGAGAGCGGGCUGCAGAUGGUGAGCUCCCGGGCAGGGCACACGGGAUGGCGUCCCAGCCCCAAGGUAAGUCUUAGGAGUGGAGUCCCUUCUAUUGUGCAGGAGGACAUGUCGGACCUGUUCUGAGCAGGCUAAUUCGUGGGAUUGAAACCUUGAAAGAACACCACCAUCAGAUGGAGUUUCCAGAGCUGCAGAUGAAGAAGAAGCUGACCGUAGUUCUGGGAGAAGAGAUGUGGUCUGUCGGGGAGAGUACGGGGAGGAUGGAUGGACAUGCGUAGCAGGGAAGAAGAUCAGCACUGCUCCAAGUCCCGUCUUCGGCCGAGGGCGGUAGAGAAGGAACUGAGGAGGGUGCGGGACGCACGCGCUCAGGAAGAUUCCAACGAGACGGGAGAUACCAACUGAGUGCGUGCAUGCGUCCCAACCAGGCACUGCUACCGAAAAUCUCCGAUC
Molecule: long non-coding RNA, 936 nt
Organism: Mauremys mutica (yellowpond turtle)
Lineage: Eukaryota; Metazoa; Chordata; Testudines; Geoemydidae
Exons: 3
Source: RefSeq, a predicted model, not a curated record